GGGGAAAGUACUUCUGUGUAUGUGUUUGUCUUACUGGUUGAUAAAUAAAGUACUGUUUGGCCAAUGAGGCAGCAAGUUAGGCAGGACUAGGAGUCAAGGAGGAUUCUGGGAAAUGUAGUAAAGAAGUGGUGAUCCACGCAGGAAGUGACACAGCAAGGAGAUUCAUAAACAAGGGUAAGAAGGAAGUGGGCCCCUUUUCUCUUCCUCCUGGUCUCUGCUCUGGAGUUGCCAUGUGAUCCUUGGGCAAGAGAGGGCGCCAGCGGAAGGCAUCCUCUAUAAGAUGAAGAACAUGACAAAUUACAAAAUGAAAGUCUUCGGUCAUACAGCUAGAAUUCUUGAGUGUAUGCACAAAACUAAUUUCCAAUUCUCAUCUUGUUCAACAUUACUCAAAAAGAAAUUUUCCGAUCAAUUUUGCUAUGUGUUGAGAAUUCAACCCCAACUCAGUUUCCUUCCAGUUUUCCUUUCCAAAGAGCAAAGGCUCUUCAGUUGUCAGAAUGAUUACCUGGAUUGAAUUUUGCAAGAAGAACCACCAAUCAAUGAUAAUUGUUCUUCCUGUGAUCAAGUCACACAAUGAAGUAACUUUUCCUCCAGUGGGAAACACUCAGAGCCUUCAUUGCUCUGUGACCAAGAAAAUAAAUUCCUUCCCAACAGCCUCCUCCACAGGCUUAUCAGAAUCCAGUCAACUCCUGAUGCUUUUAUUCCUUCACUGCCUUUGCUUUUAUCCUGUUGCUUUUUCUGAAAUAACAUUUCAAGUGAUUAAAGCAUAUUUACUUAUCAUAGAAAAUACACAAGAGAAAGCUAUUAGAUAAAAACGAUCUGUAAUUCCAUAUUACCUGUUAACUUUUUAAUGUGGUUGUUAGAAUCCUGUUUCUAUGCUGUUAUACACUGAACUCUAAGAUACUUUGAAAUAAAUGUUGAAAGAUGCUGUGCAAUUUACUCAUAUCUACUUUGUACUAGUUUUUUUAACAUAGCUUUUUUCAUUCUAUAAUUUUUCUUCAAUAUUUCAAUAAUUACAUAUUAUUCUAUUUCCAUGUAUAAGAAUGGAUUUCACAAUGUGUUGUUUUUUACUUUUCCUUUCAAAUGUAAUGUAACUGAAACAUACUUGUAAAACUUAAACUCAUAGAUCUAAGAGUAAGAUCAUUAAACACUUUUAUUUUGCUAAGACUUCCAAGAUGUGAAAAAAGUAGGUUCUACAUUAAUAAUGUAAGAGGAUGCUGUUUAUUACUGUUGAGAGAGUAAUUCUUUAUUGUUUUAAUUUAUGAAUGUUAAUUGGUAAUAAAUUGACAAACAUUAAAACUUUAUAUACUUAUUUUGUGAAUUUUCACUUGUAAAAUUGCUUCUUUACAACCACUGUCCAGUUGUUUUGUUUUUCUAAAGUAUUUAUCCUAUUGAUUCACAAUGUUCUUUAGGGAUGAGUUGAUUAUACAUGAACCCAAAACUGGUAUAGAAUUCACUGAGUAGCAAAGGGUGUCUUUGAACACCUAAUCCUAAGACCUGACCAGGGGGGUU
This 1509-nucleotide long non-coding RNA is filed under the name Cricetulus griseus (Chinese hamster). Its description in RNAcentral is "lncRNA (ENSCGRG00000024721.1)". Lineage: Eukaryota; Metazoa; Chordata; Mammalia; Rodentia; Cricetidae. The record is from RNAcentral.